CAGUGGGUCCCUCCCACAAGCAACCAACAGUCAAUGAGCAAGCCUUAGAGAAGGAUUCAGCCAAUAGUUGGGGAGAGUGGUGGCUGUCAAGCUCAGAGUGAGAAACCCUGAUGCAUGAAGUCAUAAGGACCUGGAAGGACCCUGUGGAAAAAGUCUGCCACCUUAUUGACCAGGAUAUCUCGCCUACAUGAAGCUAUUCCAGAGGAAAUAUGGGCUGUCAGUGCUCCAAGAAGGAUCCACUCAGGUCAACACUGAUCACUCAUGGAUAUCAAAGUAACAACAGUUGGAUCUGUGCUUCCCAUGGGAAGCAUUUCCAUAAACAUCUUCAAACUUAA
Molecule: long non-coding RNA, 335 nt
Organism: Cervus elaphus (red deer)
Lineage: Eukaryota; Metazoa; Chordata; Mammalia; Artiodactyla; Cervidae
Exons: 2
Source: RefSeq, a predicted model, not a curated record